This 253-nucleotide ribosomal RNA is filed under the name uncultured bacterium. RNAcentral's name for it is "partial 16S ribosomal RNA". It matches the Rfam family "Bacterial small subunit ribosomal RNA", at positions 524 to 776 of the family's 1533-position model. The record is from RNAcentral.
UACGUAGGGUGCAAGCGUUAUCCGGAAUUACUGGGCGUAAAGGGCGCGUAGGCGGUUUGUUAAGUUGGAUGUGAAAACUGUGGGCUCAACCCAUAGCCUGCAUCCAAUACUGACAGGCUAGAGUUCUGGAGGGGAUAGCGGAAUUCCUGGUGUAGCGGUGAAAUGCGUAGAUAUCAGGAGGAACACCGGUGGCGAAGGCGGCUAUCUGGACAGAGUCUGACGCUGAGGCGCGAAAGCUAGGGGAGCAAACAGG